CCUGCAGGACACCGGCCCUCGAGGCCUGGAGUUGGAGACCCCUGAUUUAAAUAAAUGUGAGUUUUUGAAAAAUUGUACUUCUAAAAGUACUUUUAUUGCACCAUGUUCAUUUACUUAUGAGCUGCUUUAACAUGAAUCAAAUGGCUGAGGCUACGUCUACACUAGCCCGGAUAAAUUUGAAAACUGUUUGCGUCUGAAAACACUGCAUCCACACUGUUGUUUUCACAGAGUUGUGCGUCCACAUUGAAACGGCCGAAAACGCUUACGUUCUAGUACUGCGCAUGCGUGAAAUGCAAGACAAUUUGACCUACCUCAUUUCUGUCUGCUGUUUAUUUACUUUCCGGCUCUUUGAAACGUCACGGCAAAAUGUCAAGUUUUUUAAAUGGACUAACAAUGAGGUGGAGUUGUUGCUGCAAGUGACACAAAAGUACAAAGUUGCAAAAGCAAUUGAGAAUUAAAGAAUUGGAAGAAAAGCUAUCUGGAGCAUGUACAAACUGAUAUUAAUCUUUAAUAGGGCUGUCAAAAUUGAGAGCAACCAAAACAACUGCUGUGUAAUGCCCUCCGCUAUCUUAGUUUAAUUGGUCACAGGACUGCAUCACAACUAAAAUGUGUCAUUGUUUUCGAAAAGGCUCUGGGUUUGCUGUCCACACUGCAAAGUGAAAAUGGCAUUUUCAAAUGUAUCCAGUUUGGAGAGCAUUUUCAACCCUCUCAGUGUGGACGAAAGGCCGAAACGGAGAGAAAAAGAUGUUUUCAAACGAAAACGUAUUAGUGUGGACAUGGCCUGAAUUGCCUGCUCAGCAUGCAGUCAUGUUCUAUAGUCUUGCUAAUGACCUACUAAUUUUAUUCUGGUGUGUUGCAGCAGGGACACAUUUAAAAGUUUCAGGACACUGGCCCUCGAGUUUGACACCUGCGCUCUACAGGAAGCUGUGAGGCUGAUGCCGCCGGUCACACUUUAUGAAAAAUUGUGGUUCAGCGUCUGUCCACACGGGGGAGCUGCAGGAGGACUGAUAGACUGAAGAUCUGCUUUGUGGGCUGGACCUCUGCAGACACCAGAAUGAAAGCAGAACCUGCAUUUUGACUCUCACAGUGCCUCCCUGAGGUUUGACUGAGUCACAAUAGUUUAUGAUCCAGCUGCAUGUUGGAGGUCAAAGGUCAGCUGCUGGCUGUUAGAGGUCAGGUCUUUGGGUCAGUCUGAAUGUGACAAACACACUGCGUCACUUGCUGAGGAGUCGAGUCCCAGAUCAGUUCCAGACGCUAGCCCUCGAGCAGAGAGGGUUGGUGGUCUGUGCUGUGGCUCAAGUGCAGGUUGAGAUCACAAGAAGACCUGCGAGCUGCUGACGUUACACGUGUAUGACGAUGUGAAGAGAAGGAAGCUGAAUGCAGAGGUGGCGCUCUCCGCCUCUGCCGCCGGGCCAUGUUACACCACAGUUCAAGAGGUGGGCGAUGAACGUGUCACAGGUGCAACUCACCUGACCUGACUACACCUGAGUGUGUGGUCAGGUGAGUCUGAGGAGGACCUGUGUCCGUCACAUGUCUGCUGGGACUCUGCAGACACACACGUGUUGAUGCAGAUGUAAAAACCUCGAUGUUUGGAAAUGCUGAGCUGGAUUUGAUACAAACCUUCUGCUGUUUUUAUUUUUGUUUCAUUCUUUAUUUUCUGUAACAGAAUGAAAUAAAUCAGGUUACAUUGUUUUCAUUUGUCAGUGAUGACAGUCAUGCACCUGAGGGCAUCAUCAAACUGUUUUAAUCUGUCCCAAACAUUUGCACAGAUGUAACAUUAUCUACAGCUGCUCUCAGUACCACUGAUGUUAAUUUAGGGUCUUUCUCUCCAGCUGAUCUGAGUUAACUUGAUUAACUACCACCAGCUGCUUCAGCCUGUUCUUUUCUGUAAUUCCACCUUGUAUCACAUGGUGGUGCAGUGAGUCACUGUAACUUUCAUUUAAUUAGAGUUUAUUUCCUGUAAACAAAUAUUAAAUGAUUUCUAAUCAGUUGCUUAAAUCGCUCUGUGAUUAGGCAUCCACAUUGAGCUCUGACAGCUGUACAAAUAGCGCUGUUCCUGAAGUCACACUGUGGUAUUUUGGUAAAUGCAGAUUAUUUCUCUCAGUCCUGCAAACAGGAAGCCGAAAACAGGAUUUUCAGGUCAUUAACUGAAGCAUGAAAACGUGCGGCCUCUCCUACUUCCUGUCAAACAAGAAGUCUGUCUCCACAUAGGAUUCCAGGAGCUCGGGAAUCUGAUGGCGCAUCUCUGCUUUGAAUUCUCGGCUUUGUGACAACAAUCACAAACCUUCAGAUUCUGUUUGCUGUCUUGACCCCAAAAAAGAUGGCUGCCACACAGAGGUUUCUCGGUUUUGAUGGGGCUAAUGAUCAGGUUUUGCAAACAAACAGAAAGUCAUUUAUGGAGCUGAUCUUUAGACCCGUUGAGGAAAAACCUGCUGCAGACACAGACACAUGAUCUAAGAUGGCCGAGGUGCACUGGCACAACACAACCUCAGCCAGCAGAGAUGCUUAGGUCACUCAGCCUUGGCACAAACAUGGUGGUGAAGACAACAUGUGCAGGAAAGAGGUGAGCGGACGGCAUAGACCUUCCCAGCAAACACCUGUUUGAUCCAAAAUAAGACGGAACAAUGAGACUGUCUCACGGGUUGUUCACCUGCUGCUGCACGAUGUAAAGCUCAGGGCUUCACUGUGCAACUGGUUGUUGAGAGCUCAGCCUGAUGUCCAAUAACGACAGUCUGCUUACAGGAAGUGGAUGAAUCUGUAAUCUGGUGCUCUGACCAGAGAGGAGAUGACUGUGGACUCCAACACUGGUCUGCCCACAGAGAGACUCCAGCUUUCUAAUGUUUCUGUUGAUCUGAAUGAUUAUGGUAUUUUCAUAGGUUUUAGUUUAAUGAAACAAAUCA
Oreochromis aureus is the source of this 2900-nucleotide long non-coding RNA. NCBI's taxonomy places the organism in Eukaryota, Metazoa, Chordata, Actinopteri, Cichliformes, Cichlidae. The record is from Ensembl.